CUUUCCCAGCCCCGGCUGCCGCGUGAGUCACCGGGCAGCUGGUCCUGGCAGCACCUCGAGGGCCCAGAGCAGAGGCCAAGGGCAGCUCCUGCGUUUCUGUCCCGGCAUCAGCUGUUCCCGGGGACAGACACGAGCCCCACGGAGGAGGCCGCAGCCGAAGGCACAGCCAGAUGUCAGAGGGGACCCACGGAAAAGGAAGCCUUUGGAGGCAGCGAGGGCCUGGGUUCACGGGACAGUGGCCAGCAGCCACAUCCGCCUGUCCCGGGUUCCAGGAGUGGCGGAACCCCGCUCCCAGCUGUCCCCCGGUGGAGGCUGCACGGCAGCUGCAGAAGCGGGGGAAGCCUCACAGUCGUCACAGCCCGGCGAUGCGACAGGUGUCACCCACAGGCUCUGGGGAGCACCAGCCCUGACAAACCCAGACGGGUGCCCGGGGCAGGAGGUCGCCAUGGAAAGGCAAGAGCCGGAGCGUGACAGGAGACAGGUGGCCCAGGGCGGUCACCUUUUCAACUAACGUUCACUGAACAACAGCAACACACGCAUCUUCAGCAUUCACCACUUCAUUUUUAUUUUAGAACGUAGUUACACAUCCUCUUUUCAAAAACAUUAAAAGAAUAUAGUAUAUCAAGUAAAAAAAUACACCAAAAAAAGGGGGCGGGGGGAGAAGCACAUGUCCCCCUUGUCUCGCAUCUCCAAUUCCAUCCCCGCCCCAGAGACCAUCAUUGCGAACAGUGCUGUCUUUUGGACUAGAGGCCCAAUAAACACACUGUCUUCUAACCAAAAGUAGGCUUUUCCUCUUCAUACUGCUCUGCAACUUACCAGUUUUUUCACUUUGCACCGUACCACAUUUGCACGUGAGCACAUAUAUUUAUGACAUCUUCUUGAACAGCU
This is a long non-coding RNA of Pipistrellus kuhlii (Kuhl's pipistrelle), 888 nucleotides long. RefSeq lists it as uncharacterized. The record is from RefSeq and is a predicted model, not a curated record. Lineage: Eukaryota; Metazoa; Chordata; Mammalia; Chiroptera; Vespertilionidae. The transcript is spliced from 2 exons.